AGAUAUAUAACAAGUGGGAUUUGAGCUCUCUGCCCCAUUUAAAAACUCUUGCAGCAGCAUUUGUUUGAGAAAUAGAGUCCACAAGGUCAAACCUGUUGUCAUAGUUAAAAAAAAAGCACUGACUUUUGGCACCACAUCAAAUUUAAAGUUAGUUUUACAUGGAAUUCUGUAAGAAUUGUUUGUGUAAAAAAAUGUUGAUAUAAUCUAUGCGAAGGAUUUGCACAGUUCCUGAUGUGGCACCAUUUGUUAAUCACACAUAAGUAUUAACAAAUAGCUGUAUAAGCACAGUGUGAUGCUCCUUGGUGUUGUGCAGAUUUCAUAUGGUAUGAGUACAUACUAGGGAUGGGCGAUCGAGACGAUAUGCAAUAUAAACGAUACAAAAUUGGCCUACGAUAGAGAUUUUAAUUAUAUUGCACUAUCGCGAUAAUUCAUGUUGAUGACGCAAUCUACCCGCGAAAUUUAGGGCCACUAGCUGCAACACGUCACGUCAUCUUGAGUAAACAUGGCUGAAAGAGGAACAAGGAGCUGGUGAAAAAGACCAGUGCAAAAUCCAUUAUUUGGACUUGGUUUGGAUUUAAGCAGCUACAACGGACUUGGGGUCGAGCCGUACCAUGGAGCCUUUCAUCAGCCUGACAAUUUACUAUAUAACGGACGAUUGGAAUCUUGGCAGCCGGUGUUUGCAGACGUCGUACUUCCCCGCUGAACAUACGGCCGUGUGUGCGUGUGUGUGUGUGCAGCG
Sander lucioperca (pikeperch) is the source of this 739-nucleotide long non-coding RNA. RefSeq lists it as uncharacterized. The transcript has 3 exons. Lineage: Eukaryota; Metazoa; Chordata; Actinopteri; Perciformes; Percidae. The record is from RefSeq and is a predicted model, not a curated record.